GACGAACGCUGGCGGCGUGCUUAACACAUGCAAGUCGAACGGAAAGGCCCUGCUUUUGUGGGGUGCUCGAGUGGCGAACGGGUGAGUAACACGUGAGUAACCUGCCCUUGACUUUGGGAUAACUUCAGGAGACUGGGGCUAAUACCGGAUAGGAGCUCCUGCUGCAUGGUGGGGGUUGGAAAGUUUCGGCGGUUGGGGAUGGACUCGCGGCUUAUCAGCUUGUUGGUGGGGUAGUGGCUUACCAAGGCUUUGACGGGUAGCCGGCCUGAGAGGGUGACCGGCCACAUUGGGAAUGGGAUACGGCCCAGACUCCUAGGGGGGGAAGCAGUGGGGAAUAUUGCAAAAGGGGCGGAAGCCGGAUGCAGCAACGCCGCGUGGGGGAUGAGGGCCUUGGGGUUGUAAACCGCUUUCGCCUGGGACGAAGCGGGAGUGGCGGUAAUGGGUAAAGAAGCACCGGCUAACUACGG
RNAcentral lists this ribosomal RNA (467 nucleotides) under uncultured bacterium. RNAcentral's name for it is "partial 16S ribosomal RNA". It matches the Rfam family "Bacterial small subunit ribosomal RNA", at positions 28 to 506 of the family's 1533-position model. The record is from RNAcentral.